This 497-nucleotide ribosomal RNA is filed under the name uncultured bacterium. RNAcentral describes it as "partial 16S ribosomal RNA". It matches the Rfam family "Bacterial small subunit ribosomal RNA", at positions 28 to 507 of the family's 1533-position model. The record is from RNAcentral.
GAUGAACGCUGGCGGCGUGCCUAAUACAUGCCAGUCGAGCGAACGGACGAGAAGCUUGCUUCUCUGAUGUUAGCGGCGGACGGGUGAGUAACACGUGGAUAACCUACCUAUAAGACUGGGAUAACUUCGGGAAACCGUAGCUAAUACCGGAUAAUAUUUUGAACCGCAUGGUUCAAAAGUGAAAGACGGUCUUGCUGUCACUUAUAGAUGGAUCCGCGCUGCAUUAGCUAGUUGGUAAGGUAACGGCUUACCAAGGCAACGAUGCAUAGCCGACCUGAGAGGGAGAUCGGACACACUGGAACUGAGACACGGUCCAGACUCCUACGGGAGGCAGCAGUAGGGAAUAUUCCGCAAUGGGCGAAAGCCUGACGGAGCAACGCCGCGUGAGUGAUGAAGGUCUUCGGAUCGUAAAACUCUGUUAUUAGGGAAGAACAUAUGUGUAAGUAACUGUGCACAUCUUGACGGUACCUAAUCAGAAAGCGACGGCUAACUACGUG